RNAcentral lists this ribosomal RNA (506 nucleotides) under Liophidium rhodogaster. RNAcentral describes it as "partial 16S ribosomal RNA". It matches the Rfam family "Bacterial large subunit ribosomal RNA", at positions 1816 to 2597 of the family's 2925-position model. Lineage: Eukaryota; Metazoa; Chordata; Lepidosauria; Squamata. The record is from RNAcentral.
AACCUUUAGCAAAACAAAUAUUAAAGGCAACGCCUGCCCAGUGAACAAUUAAACGGCCGCGGUACCCUAACCGUGCAAAGGUAGCGUAAUCACUUGUCUAUUAAUUGUAGACCCGUAUGAAAGGCAAAAUGAGGGCCUAACUGUCUCUUAUAAUAAAUCAAUUAAACUGAUCUCCCAGUCCAAAAGCUGGAAUACUUACAUAAGACCAGAAGACCCUGUGAAGCUUAAACCAAACUAUUAAAACAUAUAAUAACUUCUUUCGGUUGGGGCGACCUUGGAAAAAAAGAAAACUUCCAAAUAGUGACCUCCCAUCACACCAAAAGGCCAACAAGCCUACACCAGACCCAGCAUAGCUGAUAAUUGAACCAAGUUACUCCAGGGAUAACAGCGCUAUCUUCUUCAAGAGCCCAUAUCAAAAAGAAGGUUUACGACCUCGAUGUUGGAUCAGGACAUCCUAUUGGUGCAGCCGCUAUUAAGGGUUCGUUUGUUCAACGAUUAAUAGUCCU